This 2891-nucleotide ribosomal RNA is filed under the name human gut metagenome. Its description in RNAcentral is "bacterial LSU rRNA". It matches the Rfam family "Bacterial large subunit ribosomal RNA". The record is from RNAcentral.
ACUAAGCGUACACGGUGGAUGCCCUGGCAGUCAGAGGCGAUGAAGGACGUGCUAAUCUGCGAAAAGCGUCGGUAAGGUGAUAUGAACCGUUAUAACCGGCGAUGUCCGAAUGGGGAAACCCAGUGCAAUUCGUUGCACUAUCGUUAACUGAAUACAUAGGUUAACGAGGCGAACCGGGGGAACUGAAACAUCUAAGUACCCCGAGGAAAAGAAAUCAACCGAGAUUCCCCCAGUAGCGGCGAGCGAACGGGGAGCAGCCCAGAGUCUGAAUCAGCUUGUGUGUUAGUGGAACGGUCUGGAAAGUCCGACGGUACAGGGUGAUAGUCCCGUACACCAAAAUGCACAGGCUGUGAACUCGAAGAGUAGGGCGGGACACGUGGUAUCCUGUCUGAAUAUGGGGGGACCAUCCUCCAAGGCUAAAUACUCCUGACUGACCGAUAGUGAACCAGUACCGUGAGGGAAAGGCGAAAAGAACCCCGGCGAGGGGAGUGAAAAAGAACCUGAAACCGUGUACGUACAAGCAGUGGGAGCACCUUCGGGUGUGACUGCGUACCUUUUGUAUAAUGGGUCAGCGACUUAUAUUCUGUAGCAAGGUUAACCGUAUAGGGGAGCCGCAGGGAAACCGAGUCUUAACUGGGCGUUAAGUUGCAGGGUAUAGACCCGAAACCCGGUGAUCUAGCCAUGGGCAGGUUGAAGGUUGGGUAACACUAACUGGAGGACCGAACCGACUAAUGUUGAAAAAUUAGCGGAUGACUUGUGGCUGGGGGUGAAAGGCCAAUCAAACCGGGAGAUAGCUGGUUCUCCCCGAAAGCUAUUUAGGUAGCGCCUCGUGAAUUCAUCUUCGGGGGUAGAGCACUGUUUCGGCUAGGGGGUCAUCCCGACUUACCAACCCGAUGCAAACUACGAAUACCGAAGAAUGUUAUCACGGGAGACACACGGCGGGUGCUAACGUCCGUCGUGAAGAGGGAAACAACCCAGACCGCCAGCUAAGGUCCCAAAGUCAUGGUUAAGUGGGAAACGAUGUGGGAAGGCACAGACAGCCAGGAUGUUGGCUUAGAAGCAGCCAUCAUUUAAAGAAAGCGUAAUAGCUCACUGGUCGAGUCGGCCUGCGCGGAAGAUGUAACGGGGCUAAACCAUGCACCGAAGCUGCGGCAGCGACACUAUGUGUUGUUGGGUAGGGGAGCGUUCUGUAAGCCUGCGAAGGUGUGCUGUGAGGCAUGCUGGAGGUAUCAGAAGUGCGAAUGCUGACAUAAGUAACGAUAAAGCGGGUGAAAAGCCCGCUCGCCGGAAGACCAAGGGUUCCUGUCCAACGUUAAUCGGGGCAGGGUGAGUCGACCCCUAAGGCGAGGCCGAAAGGCGUAGUCGAUGGGAAACAGGUUAAUAUUCCUGUACUUGGUGUUACUGCGAAGGGGGGACGGAGAAGGCUAUGUUAGCCGGGCGACGGUUGUCCCGGUUUAAGCAUGUAGGCUGGUUGUCCAGGCAAAUCCGGAUAAUCAAGGCUGAGGUGUGAUGACGAGGCACUACGGUGCUGAAGUAACAAAUGCCCUGCUUCCAGGAAAAGCCUCUAAGCAUCAGGUAACAUCAAAUCGUACCCCAAACCGACACAGGUGGUCAGGUAGAGAAUACCAAGGCGCUUGAGAGAACUCGGGUGAAGGAACUAGGCAAAAUGGUGCCGUAACUUCGGGAGAAGGCACGCUGGUGUGUAGGUGAAGUCCCUGCGGAUGGAGCUGAGACCAGUCGAAGAUACCAGCUGGCUGCAACUGUUUAUUAAAAACACAGCACUGUGCAAACACGAAAGUGGACGUAUACGGUGUGACGCCUGCCCGGUGCCGGAAGGUUAAUUGAUGGGGUUAUCCGUAAGGAGAAGCUCUUGAUCGAAGCCCCGGUAAACGGCGGCCGUAACUAUAACGGUCCUAAGGUAGCGAAAUUCCUUGUCGGGUAAGUUCCGACCUGCACGAAUGGCGUAAUGAUGGCCAGGCUGUCUCCACCCGAGACUCAGUGAAAUUGAACUCGCUGUGAAGAUGCAGUGUACCCGCGGCAAGACGGAAAGACCCCGUGAACCUUUACUAUAGCUUGACACUGAACAUUGAGCCUUGAUGUGUAGGAUAGGUGGGAGGCUUUGAAGCGUGGACGCCAGUCUGCGUGGAGCCAACCUUGAAAUACCACCCUUUAAUGUUUGAUGUUCUAACGUUGGCCCCUUACCGGGGUUGCGGACAGUGUCUGGUGGGUAGUUUGACUGGGGCGGUCUCCUCCCAAAGCGUAACGGAGGAGCACGAAGGUUAGCUAAUCCUGGUCGGACAUCAGGAGGUUAGUGCAAUGGCAUAAGCUAGCUUGACUGCGAGCGUGACGGCGCGAGCAGGUGCGAAAGCAGGUCAUAGUGAUCCGGUGGUUCUGAAUGGAAGGGCCAUCGCUCAACGGAUAAAAGGUACUCCGGGGAUAACAGGCUGAUACCGCCCAAGAGUUCAUAUCGACGGCGGUGUUUGGCACCUCGAUGUCGGCUCAUCACAUCCUGGGGCUGAAGUAGGUCCCAAGGGUAUGGCUGUUCGCCAUUUAAAGUGGUACGCGAGCUGGGUUUAGAACGUCGUGAGACAGUUCGGUCCCUAUCUGCCGUGGGCGCUGGAGAAUUGAGGGGGGCUGCUCCUAGUACGAGAGGACCGGAGUGGACGCAUCACUGGUGUUCGGGUUGUCAUGCCAAUGGCACUGCCCGGUAGCUAAAUGCGGAAGAGAUAAGUGCUGAAAGCAUCUAAGCACGAAACUUGCCCCGAGAUGAGUUCUCCCUGAGACUUUAAGUCUCCUGAAGGAACGUUAAAGACGAUGACGUUGAUAGGCCGGGUGUGUAAGCGCAGCGAUGCGUUGAGCUAACCGGUACUAAUGAACCGUGAGGCUUAACC